This 333-nucleotide ribosomal RNA is filed under the name uncultured bacterium. Its description in RNAcentral is "bacterial SSU rRNA". It matches the Rfam family "Bacterial small subunit ribosomal RNA", at positions 568 to 898 of the family's 1533-position model. The record is from RNAcentral.
CGCGUAGGCGGUGCUUUAAAGUGAGAUGUGCAAUCCCCGGGCUUAACCUGGGAACUGCAUCUCAGACUGGAGCGCUAGAGUACUGGAGAGGGUGGUAGAAUUCCACGUGUAGCGGUGAAAUGCGUAGAGAUGUGGAGGAAUACCAGUGGCGAAGGCGGCCACCUGGACAGUAACUGACGCUGAGGCGCGAAAGUGUGGGUAGCAAACAGGAUUAGAUACCCUGGUAGUCCACGCUGUAAACGAUGAACACUUGGUGUGGCGGGAGUUGACCCCUGCCGUGCCGUAGCUAACGCGCUAAGUGUUCCGCCUGGGGAGUACGGUCGCAAGGCUGAA